This 183-nucleotide ribosomal RNA is filed under the name uncultured bacterium. RNAcentral describes it as "partial 16S ribosomal RNA". It matches the Rfam family "Bacterial small subunit ribosomal RNA", at positions 1319 to 1500 of the family's 1533-position model. The record is from RNAcentral.
CAUGAAGCUGGAAUCGCUAGUAAUCGCAGGUCAGCAUACUGCGGUGAAUACGUUCCCGGGUCUUGUACACACCGCCCCGUCACACCAUGGGAGCCGGAAAUGCCCGAAGCCAGUGACCCAACCUUAGGGAGGGAGCUGUCGAAGGUGGAGCCGGUAACUGGGGUGAAGUCGUAACAAGGUAUC